Molecule: long non-coding RNA, 330 nt
Organism: Esox lucius (northern pike)
Lineage: Eukaryota; Metazoa; Chordata; Actinopteri; Esociformes; Esocidae
Exons: 3
Source: RefSeq, a predicted model, not a curated record
UACUCGUGUCCAUUAGUGUUGUGUCCACGUACUUCACCCUGAUUUAUGGCUUUUUGUAUGGGAAGGAAAAAUCCAUCCAGUGGGCUUUCUCUCUGGCCUUGUCGCUCUUCCAGAGCAUCUUCAUCCUGCAGCCUCUUAAGGUGAUUGGCUUGGCAAUCUUCUUUGCAUUCCUCCUCAAGCCAGUGGCAGUAGAAGAGAGUGAGGAUUUAGAACUGCUCCUGAAAGAACAACAGCAGAGGUGUAAAUUGUACUCUGGUAGGGAAAUACACUGAGGGAACCAAUUUAGCUUGACAUGCCGUCUCCAGAGGAUUGACAGGGUUGGAAUGCCAG